This 2949-nucleotide ribosomal RNA is filed under the name Halomonas sp. hl-4. RNAcentral describes it as "bacterial LSU rRNA". It matches the Rfam family "Bacterial large subunit ribosomal RNA". Lineage: Bacteria; Pseudomonadati; Pseudomonadota; Gammaproteobacteria; Oceanospirillales; Halomonadaceae. The record is from RNAcentral.
AUAGGGUCAAGCAAUGAAGCGCACACGGUGGAUGCCUAGGCAGCCAGAGGCGAUGAAAGACGUGGAAGCCUGCGAUAAGGCUCGGCGAGGUGGCAAACAACCUGUGACCCGGGCAUUUCUGAAUGGGGAAACCCACCGAUCACAAGAUCGGUAUCCUGUCCUGAAUCUAUAGGGCCAGGAGGCGAACCAGGGGAACUGAAACAUCUAAGUACCCUGAGGAAAAGAAAUCAACCGAGAUUCCCCCAGUAGCGGCGAGCGAACGGGGACCAGCCCUUAAGCAUGUGACUGAUUAGGCGAAUGCGUUGGGAAGCGCGGCCGUAGCGGGUGAUAGCCCCGUAGUCGAAAAUCUGAUCAUGUGAAAUCGAGUAGGUCGGGGCACGAGAAACCUUGACUGAAGACGGGGGGACCAUCCUCCAAGGCUAAAUACUCCUGGCUGACCGAUAGUGAACCAGUACCGUGAGGGAAAGGCGAAAAGAACCCCGGAGAGGGGAGUGAAAUAGAUCCUGAAACCGUGUGCGUACAAGCAGUAGGAGCCCCAUCACUAAGCUUCUUCGUGAUGUGAACCCACCCAAACAAGCAGAGGUGGCUUAGUGAUGGGGUGACUGCGUACCUUUUGUAUAAUGGGUCAGCGACUUAUAUUCAGUGGCGAGGUUAACCGUAUAGGGGAGCCGUAGGGAAACCGAGUCUUAACUGGGCGACACAGUCGCUGGAUAUAGACCCGAAACCGAGCGAUCUAUCCAUGAGCAGGGUGAAGAUUGAGUAACAUCAAUUGGAGGCCCGAACCAGGAUCUGUUGAAAAAGAUUUGGAUGACUUGUGGAUCGGAGUGAAAGGCUAAUCAAGCUCGGAGAUAGCUGGUUCUCCUCGAAAGCUAUUUAGGUAGCGCCUCACGUAUCACCGCCGGGGGUAGAGCACUGUUUCGGCUAGGGGGUCAUCCCGACUUACCAACCCGAGGCAAACUCCGAAUACCGGUGAGUGCGAGCGUGGGAGACACACAGCGGGUGCUAACGUCCGUUGUGAAAAGGGAAACAACCCAGACCGUCAGCUAAGGUCCCGAAAUCCUGGUUAAGUGGGAAACGAUGUGGGAAGGCUCAGACAGCUAGGAGGUUGGCUUAGAAGCAGCCAUCCUUUAAAGAAAGCGUAAUAGCUCACUAGUCGAGUCGGCCUGCGCGGAAGAUGUAACGGGGCUAAACCAGGUACCGAAGCUACGGGUGCGUUCUUAGGAAUGCGCGGUAGAGGAGCGUCGUGUACGCCGAUGAAGGUGGAUUGAGAAGUCUGCUGGAGGUAUCACGAGUGCGAAUGCUGACAUGAGUAACGAUAAAGGGAGUGAAAAACUCCCUCGCCGGAAGACCAAGGGUUUCUGUUCGACGCUAAUCGGAGCAGAGUGAGUCGGCCCCUAAGGCGAGGCCGAAAGGCGUAGUCGAUGGGAAACGGGUCAAUAUUCCCGUACCGGACAUGGUUGCGAUGGGGGGACGAAGAAGGCUAGAUGAGCCAGGCGUUGGUAGUCCUGGUGAAAGUCCGUAGGCUGAGGGUUUAGGUAAAUCCGGACCCUUAAGGCCGAGAGACGAGACGAAGACACUAAGGUGUUGAAGUCAUCGAUGCCACGCUUCCAGGAAAAGCCUCUAAGCUUCAGAUCAUGUGCGACCGUACCCCAAACCGACACAGGUGGUCAGGGUGAGAAUCCCAAGGCGCUUGAGAGAACUCGGGUGAAGGAACUAGGCAAAAUGGUGCCGUAACUUCGGGAGAAGGCACGCCGGCGUAUUGUGAGAGCCCUCGCGGCUUAAGCGAGAACCGGUCGAAGAUACCAGGUGGCUGCAACUGUUUAUUAAAAACACAGCACUCUGCUAACGCGCAAGCGGACGUAUAGGGUGUGACGCCUGCCCGGUGCCGGAAGGUUAAAUGAUGGUGUUAGGAUUCGUCCGAAGCUCUUGAUUGAAGCCCCGGUAAACGGCGGCCGUAACUAUAACGGUCCUAAGGUAGCGAAAUUCCUUGUCGGGUAAGUUCCGACCUGCACGAAUGGCGUAAUGAUGGCCACGCUGUCUCCACCCGAGACUCAGUGAAAUUGAAAUCGCCGUGAAGAUGCGGUGUACCCGCGGCUAGACGGAAAGACCCCGUGAACCUUUACUAUAGCUUCACACUGGACGCUGAUGUUGCCUGUGUAGGAUAGCUGGGAGGCUUUGAACUUUGGACGCCAGUUCGAAGGGAGCCAACCUUGAAAUACCAGCCUGGCAUCAUUGGCGUUCUCACUCAGGUCCGUUAUCCGGAUCGAGGACAGUGUGUGGUGGGUAGUUUGACUGGGGCGGUCUCCUCCCAAAGCGUAACGGAGGAGCACGAAGGUACCCUCAGCACGGUCGGACAUCGUGCAAUGAGUGCAAGAGCAUAAGGGUGCUUGACUGCGAGACAGACACGUCGAGCAGGUGCGAAAGCAGGUUCUAGUGAUCCGGUGGUUCUGUAUGGAAGGGCCAUCGCUCAACGGAUAAAAGGUACUCCGGGGAUAACAGGCUGAUACCGCCCAAGAGUUCACAUCGACGGCGGUGUUUGGCACCUCGAUGUCGGCUCAUCACAUCCUGGGGCUGAAGUCGGUCCCAAGGGUAUGGCUGUUCGCCAUUUAAAGUGGUACGCGAGCUGGGUUUAGAACGUCGUGAGACAGUUCGGUCCCUAUCUGCCGUGGGCGUUGGAUGUUUGAGAAGGGCUGCUCCUAGUACGAGAGGACCGGAGUGGACGCACCUCUGGUGUUCCGGUUGUCACGCCAGUGGCAUUGCCGGGUAGCUAUGUGCGGACGGGAUAACCGCUGAAAGCAUCUAAGCGGGAAGCCCCCUUCAAGAUGAGACAUCCCUGAGGCCACGAGCCUCCUGAAGGGCCCAGCGAGACCAGCUGGUUGAUAGGCACGGUGUGGAAGCGCUGCAAGGUGUUGAGCUAACGUGUACUAAUGGCCCGUGAGGCUUGACCCU